AAGAAGGGGGGGAAUCUUCGGACCUCUCGCUAAUAGAUGAGCCUAGGCCGGAUUAGCUAGUUGGUAGGGUAAAGGCCUACCAAGGCGACGAUCUGUAGCUGGUCUGAGAGGAUGGCCAGCCACACUGGAACUGAGACACGGUCCAGACUCCUACGGGAGGCAGCAGUGGGGAAUAUUGGACAAUGGGGGCAACCCUGAUCCAGCCAUGCCGCGUGUGUGAAGAAGGCCUCGGGUUGUAAAGCACUUUAAGCGAGGAGGAAGGUUUUAGUUUAAUACACUAAAGAAUUGACGUUACUCGCAGAAUAAGCACCGGCUAACUCUGUG
RNAcentral lists this ribosomal RNA (324 nucleotides) under uncultured bacterium. RNAcentral's name for it is "bacterial SSU rRNA". It matches the Rfam family "Bacterial small subunit ribosomal RNA", at positions 200 to 507 of the family's 1533-position model. The record is from RNAcentral.